This is a long non-coding RNA of Lathyrus oleraceus (garden pea), 1188 nucleotides long. RefSeq lists it as uncharacterized. The transcript has 3 exons. NCBI's taxonomy places the organism in Eukaryota, Viridiplantae, Streptophyta, Magnoliopsida, Fabales, Fabaceae. The record is from RefSeq and is a predicted model, not a curated record.
CCAAACCAUAGGCUGAACCCGGAUUCAAGCCAAAAAACACUCUCUUGCUGUAGGCAUAAACGGUGCUUAUCCAAAAGGCAGAAAACUUGACUGCAUCAAACACAAAGCCGAGGAAAACCAGAUUCCGUGUCUUCGAUUACAGCAUCACUGUGCUUCAACACUUUUGCUCGUGUUCGUAGGGUUCUUCGUGUUCCAAUCAAGGUGCCGCGUUUGGAUUCGUCAUGGCUCAAGUGCGACGCCUUCGGUCUUCGAUACUCAUCUUGCUCGCAUCAGCAUCAUUGUUGUAGGUGUCAUCGUGAUUCACACUUCAGGACUCGACACCCAGGCUCGCGCAUCCAGCAGCUCGUCGUGUCAAUGUCGCGAUUUUAUGGACUGCGCCGCCAACAUCUCGCGUGAACAAUUCAACGAUUUCAGUCAAAGAAAAUAAAUAUAGUUUGAAACUAAACUUACCGGAUUGAAGCAACGCGGUGGUUUAAUUCCAAAUCUUCUUCGUUGACGCUUCGUGAUUCUGCUUAGACCGUUGCUUGAUCCGCCGUGCCCUUUUGGUUGGACUCGUCGCUUGAUGAUGAAGGACGUGGAUUCGCCGUUGCGAUUCGCAUGGUCCGUUGUACAAGGUGAAGCAUAACGUUCAGAUGAAUUUGAUUAAGGAGUUUGAUUCAGUUCAAUGCUUUCUGUUUUUCUUUCACUAUUUGCAGGAUGCGGAAGAUGGAAGAAACUACUUGCAUAAACCCAAAGAGAGAGCUUGCAGAAUGAAGAAAGUUGUUGCAGAAUCUUGGUGGAGAAUUGUUGCAGAAUCCUGGAGAAGAAUUGAUGCAGACUCAUGGAGAAGAACCCUUGCAAAGUGAGGCGAAUGAGGUUUUAUCGAUGUUUUCCCUUUUCUUUGGGAAUAAAUAAAGUUUGAUGGCGACUCUGUUGUAUGUUCGAACGUGCGAUGCGUUCAGUUUGUUUUGUUGCGUGGCAGAUGAAAAAAAGGAAAGGAAGAUGGUUAAUGCAGCCAAGUGGAAGCUUGUAGGAGCAGAAGGAUAAUUAAGGAAUUUCCAAAAUAAUAAAUUUUCUUAUAUGAUAGAUGAGAACUUCUAACGGUGCACAAAAGUUAUAUAUAGGAAAAAAUAAUGCAGAAGCGGGAAGAGUAUGAUUUAGGGGGAGAACGACGCGUUGGUCAGAUGAGGUAAAGAAUUUAAAAUAUUA